Molecule: microRNA precursor, 202 nt
Filed under: Oryza brachyantha (malo sina)
Lineage: Eukaryota; Viridiplantae; Streptophyta; Magnoliopsida; Poales; Poaceae
Description: MIR812 microRNA precursor family
Rfam family: MIR812 microRNA precursor family
Source: Rfam by way of RNAcentral
GAAGAGCGUAUUUUUACACUUUUAAGUUCAAUGGUUGACCGUCCAUCUUAUUUUUUUUAAAAGAAUGAUUAAUAUUUUGGUUGAUAUCGGAUGAUAAAACAUGAACAAUAUUUCAUCUAUGUGAAUUUUUUAAGUUUUUUUAUAAACUUUAAAUAAAAUGAAUGGUCAACGUUGAACACAUAAAUUCAUAAAUAUACUUCAA